This 833-nucleotide ribosomal RNA is filed under the name Gonia cf. brevipulvilli OHA31-05-06-008. Its description in RNAcentral is "partial 28S ribosomal RNA". It matches the Rfam family "Eukaryotic large subunit ribosomal RNA", at positions 156 to 861 of the family's 3401-position model. The record is from RNAcentral. Lineage: Eukaryota; Metazoa; Arthropoda; Insecta; Diptera; Tachinidae.
GAAUGCCAAAUUUCUAGUAUGAGGAACUAAUGAUUUAAGUCCUUCUUAAAUGAGGCCAUUUACCCAUAGAGGGUGCCAGGCCCGUAUAACGUUAGUGAUUACUAGAUGGUAUUUCCAAAGAGUCGUGUUGCUUGAUAGUGCAGCACUAAGUUGGUGGUAAACUCCAUCUAAAACUAAAUAUAACCAUGAGACCGAUAGUAAACAAGUACCGUGAGGGAAAGUUGAAAAGAACUCUGAAUAGAGAGUUAAAUAGUACGUGAAACUGCUUAGAGGUUAAGCCUGAUGAACCUGAAUAUCUAUUAUAGAAAAUUCAUCAUUAUGACUUUAACAUGUUAUAAUAAUAGUGUGCAUUUUUUCUAUAUAAGACAUUGUAAUCUAUUAAUAAUUUAUCAUAAGGUCAGCGUAUGCUUAUUGAAAAAAUAGUAAUCUAAAAAUCAAUAAAUGCAUUUGACUCGAUAAAGUAUUGAUAGAUUUAAUAUAUAGUGCUUGAAUAAUAUUCUAUAAUAGCAUAUUAAUUAUUAAUUUUUAUGUUUAUUAUAUGCGCUUAUAUGAUUAACAAUGCGAAAGAUUCAGGAUACCUUCGGGACCCGUCUUGAAACACGGACCAAGGAGUCUAACAUAUUUGCAAGUUAUUGGGCAAAACCUAAUAGCGAAAUUAACAUAACUUAUGGGAUUAGUUUUUAGCCUAUUAAUUCAAUCCCGGGGCGUUCUUAUAUAGUUAUGUGUAAUAAUAUUUAUAUUAUUUAUACCUCUAACUAGAACGUACCUUGAGCAUAUAUGCUAUGACCCGAAAGAUGGUGAACUAUACUUGAUCAGGUUUAAGUCAGGGGAAA